GAGUUUAGGUUACAUCAAACCAAAAGCCUUCAAAGCUUUCAACAGGGAUACCCCCCUAACUCUUG
RNAcentral lists this transfer RNA (65 nucleotides) under Pachydactylus mariquensis (Ceres thick-toed gecko). Its description in RNAcentral is "tRNA-Trp". The record is from RNAcentral. Lineage: Eukaryota; Metazoa; Chordata; Lepidosauria; Squamata; Gekkonidae.